RNAcentral lists this ribosomal RNA (472 nucleotides) under uncultured bacterium. RNAcentral's name for it is "bacterial SSU rRNA". It matches the Rfam family "Bacterial small subunit ribosomal RNA", at positions 355 to 825 of the family's 1533-position model. The record is from RNAcentral.
UGGGGAAUUUUGGACAAUGGGGGCAACCCUGAUCCAGCAAUGCCGCGUGAGUGAAGAAGGCCUUCGGGUUGUAAAGCUCUUUUGUCAGGGAAGAAACGGUAGUAGCGAAUAACUAUUACUAAUGACGGUACCUGAAGAAUAAGCACCGGCUAACUACGUGCCAGCAGCCGCGGUAAUACGUAGGGUGCAAGCGUUAAUCGGAAUUACUGGGCGUAAAGCGUGCGCAGGCGGUUGUGUAAGUCAGAUGUGAAAUCCCCGGGCUCAACCUGGGAAUUGCAUUUGAGACUGCACGGCUAGAGUGUAGCAGAGGGGGGUAGAAUUCCACGUGUAGCAGUGAAAUGCGUAGAUAUGUGGAGGAAUACCGAUGGCGAAGGCAGCCCCCUGGGCUAACACUGACGCUCAUGCACGAAAGCGUGGGGAGCAAACAGGAUUAGAUACCCCCGUAGUCCCUGAGCGGGCUGGCAAGGCGCAU